Molecule: ribosomal RNA, 492 nt
Filed under: uncultured bacterium
Lineage: Bacteria
Description: partial 16S ribosomal RNA
Rfam family: Bacterial small subunit ribosomal RNA
Source: RNAcentral
AGUGAACGCUGGCGGUAGGCCUAACACAUGCAAGUCGAACGGUAGCACAGUAAGAGCUUGCUCUUACGGGUGGCGAGUGGCGGACGGGUGAGGAAUACAUCGGAAUCUACUUUUUCGUGGGGGAUAACGUAGGGAAACUUACGCUAAUACCGCAUACGACCUACGGGUGAAAGCAGGGGAUCUUCGGACCUUGCGCGAUUGAAUGAGCCGAUGUCGGAUUAGCUAGUUGGCGGGGUAAAGGCCCACCAAGGCGACGAUCCGCAGCUGGUCUGAGAGGAUGAUCAGCCACACUGGAACUGAGACACGGUCCAGACUCCUACGGGAGGCAGCAGUGGGGAAUAUUGGACAAUGGGCGCAAGCCUGAUCCAGCCAUACCGCGUGGGUGAAGAAGGCCUUCGGGUUGUAAAGCCCUUUUGUUGGGAAAGAAAAGCAGCAGGUUAAUACCCCGCUGUUCUGACGGUACCCAAAGAAUAAGCACCGGCUAACUUCGUG